This 253-nucleotide ribosomal RNA is filed under the name uncultured bacterium. RNAcentral's name for it is "partial 16S ribosomal RNA". It matches the Rfam family "Bacterial small subunit ribosomal RNA", at positions 524 to 776 of the family's 1533-position model. The record is from RNAcentral.
UACGGAGGAUGCAAGCGUUAUCCGGAAUGAUUGGGCGUAAAGCGUCCGCAGGUGGCUAUGUAAGUCUGCUGUUAAAGAGCGAGGCUCAACCUUGUAAAGGCAGUGGAAACUACAUGGCUAGAGUGCGUUCGGGGCAGAGGGAAUUCCUGGUGUAGCGGUGAAAUGCGCAGAUAUCAGGAGGAACACCGGUGGCGAAGGCGCUCAUCUGGCCCAAUACUGACGCUGAGGCGCGAAAGCUAGGGGAGCAAACGGG